GCAGAGUGGUUCCAUUCCCAUGGCAAGGCCAUAAAGCACAGAGUAACCUGUAAUGUUGGUGAAGCCGAUGGCUAGUGCACCUCCUGCCAGCUCCAAGCUUCCUAGCCUUCCUAUGCAUGCUACUGAAAUCAUGUUUUUCAGGCGAACGCGGCGGCGGGGCUCGUAUCCUUAACAGAACAAGUGCAUUUUCUUACACUGAUUGAUUUGAGGAGUGAAAGAGUAGUGCAGCAUCAAAAGACAAAAUUUCGCAUUGCUUGAUUUGGUUGCUGAUGUAAAUUAUCUUGAAAAUAAUUAAGGUACGUACCCUCACAAAAAGAAAAGGGUUAAUUGUCCAUAAAUUACUGAACUUUCAUCCAAUUCUGGUUUUGCACACAAACCUUGAACUGUUGCGUGAUAAUUAUUAAACUUUUGAUUUUAUCUGAUUUUGCUACUAAUCCAAAUUCCGGCCAAAUAGCAAGCUAAUAUAUAAUAUGGUGUGCCAAUUUUGACAUGACGUAUUUAUUAUUGCGUGACAAUUAGUUGACAAAAUAAUAUUUUUUUUAUUUAAUUUCUUAUCAAUAAAAAAAGAACACAAAGCAAAUAACUCAAAUUGUCAAUAAUUUAAUAUAUUGAAUCAAAUAAUAGUAUUUUUUUAGUUGAAUUAAUUAGCUGAAUAAAUUCGAUAAUAGUAAGGGAAUUCUUCGAAUUUAGGUGCGUCAACCAAAGAACAUUUUAAUUAUCAAUAACUUAAUAUAUAAAAAAUUUAUUUAGCUAAGUAAUAAAGUUUAUUAAAUUUUCAUUAUCUAAAGAUUAAUUUUUUUUAUAAACUAUAUAUAUUUAUACUAUUUGAAUGAGUUCUAUUUUAUAUAUUGGAGUAAUCAGUUGUGUAAUAGUGAACUAGAUGUGUAAUAGUGAACUAGAAAAAAUUGAUUUAAACUUGAGAAUUUUUUUUAAAAAAUACUAUUAUUUGAUUUGAUAUAUUAAGUUAUUGACAAUUUGGGUUAUUUGCUUUGUGUUCUUUUUUUUUAUUAAUAAGAAAUUAACAAUAGAUACGUCACGCCAAAUAUUUGCACGUCAUAUUAGCUUGGUAUUUAGCCGGAAUUUGGAUUAGUAGCAAAAUCAGAUAAAAUCUAAAGUUUAGUAAUUUUCAAGCUAUAUUUCAAAGUUUGUGAUUGAAAGAAAGUUCAGUAUUUUAUGGGCAAUUAACCCAAAAGAAAAUAAUGGAAUGGUGAACCAAAUUAACAAGUUCUAUGCUAUUCUAUAAUUUCAAAAUUUUAUGUUAGAUCUUUUCAAAAAAAAAAUUAAAAAAUUAUGUUAGAUUAUUAAUAAAUAUUGCAUGUAUUUGGAAAUUUUCUAUAAAAUUACUUGUAGAUAUAUGUGAGUAAUGAUUUCAGAAUCGGAGACGAAACACUGUCACUGGCACCUACAGUAGAAGAUCUCAUCUCAUCUUGAGCCUUUUGGUGAGUCAAUGAGAUAUUCUUCUCCUUGUGGCCAUUGUUCUUUACUUUAUUUUCACUCCUCGCCAUUUAGGUUGUGGAAAAUUUGUUGUUUAAUUUAUAAAUGUCACUUCUAUAUUGAUGAUGUUAAUUAAUAGUUACUCCCUCAAAGCUUAAGUUACUGAAA
Long non-coding RNA from Salvia miltiorrhiza (redroot sage), 1602 nucleotides. RefSeq lists it as uncharacterized. The transcript is spliced from 2 exons. Lineage: Eukaryota; Viridiplantae; Streptophyta; Magnoliopsida; Lamiales; Lamiaceae. The record is from RefSeq and is a predicted model, not a curated record.